RNAcentral lists this ribosomal RNA (360 nucleotides) under uncultured bacterium. RNAcentral describes it as "bacterial SSU rRNA". It matches the Rfam family "Bacterial small subunit ribosomal RNA", at positions 29 to 410 of the family's 1533-position model. The record is from RNAcentral.
AACGAACGCUGGCGGCAGGCCUAAAACAUGCAAGUUGAACGGUUGUAGCAAUACAACGAGUAGCGGACGGGUGAGUAAUGUAUGGGAACAUGUCCUUAAGUGGGGAAUAGCUUCUGGAAACGGGAGGUAAUACCGCAUAAUACCUGAGGGAGAAAGCAGAGAUGCGCUUAAGGGUUGGCCCAUAUCAGAUUAGCUAGUUGGUUAGGUAAAGGCUGACCAAGGCGACGAUCUGUAGCUGGUUUGAGAGGAUGAUCAGCCACAUUGGGACUGAGACACGGCCCAAACUCCUACGGGAGGCAGCAGUUAGGAAUAUUGGACAAUGGGGGCAACCCUGGAUCCAGCCAUGCCGCGUGAGUGAAG